This 343-nucleotide ribosomal RNA is filed under the name uncultured fungus. RNAcentral's name for it is "eukaryotic LSU rRNA". The stretch from base 1 to 125 matches the Rfam family "5.8S ribosomal RNA", at positions 30 to 154 of the family's 154-position model. The record is from RNAcentral. Lineage: Eukaryota; Fungi.
GCAUCGAUGAAGAACGCAGCGAAAUGCGAUAAGUAGUGUGAAUUGCAGAAUUCAGUGAAUCAUCGAAUCUUUGAACGCACAUUGCGCCCCUUGGUAUUCCAUGGGGCAUGCCUGUUCGAGCGUCAUUUGUACCUUCAAGCUCUGCUUGGUGUUGGGUGUUCGUCUCGCCUCUGCGUGUAGACUCGCCUCAAAACAAUUGGCAGCCGGCGUAUUGAUUUCGGAGCGCAGUACAUCUCGCGCUUUGCACUCAUAACGACGACGAUCCAAAAGUACAUUUUUACACUCUUGACCUCGGAUCAGGUAGGGAUACCCGCUGAACUUAAGCAUAUCAAUAAGCGGAGGA